GCCGAAGUGGCGGAAUGGCAGACGCGCCUCUCUCAAAAAGAGGUGAGGGUUCCCUCAUGUGGGUUCGACUCCCACCUUCGGCACCA
RNAcentral lists this transfer RNA (86 nucleotides) under Chloroflexota bacterium. RNAcentral's name for it is "Chloroflexi bacterium tRNA-Leu". It matches the Rfam family "tRNA". From Rfam's summary of the family: Transfer RNA (tRNA) molecules are approximately 80 nucleotides in length. Their secondary structure includes four short double-helical elements and three loops (D, anti-codon, and T loops). RNAcentral also lists the same sequence under 1 other name. The record is from RNAcentral. Lineage: Bacteria; Bacillati; Chloroflexota.